This 206-nucleotide long non-coding RNA is filed under the name Elaeis guineensis (African oil palm). RNAcentral describes it as "long non-coding RNA (EGUI_LNC077458)". The record is from RNAcentral. Lineage: Eukaryota; Viridiplantae; Streptophyta; Magnoliopsida; Arecales; Arecaceae.
CUGAUAGAGUACCACAUCAACCAGAUAGAUACAACAGUUUCUUAGUCUGAGAUAGGGAUCCAGUUAAACUCGAUGAGAACAAUGAGGAUCCGAUCAUCUAUAUGGAUGCAAUGCAGAGGUCUGACUCCGAUAAAUAGUUGAAAGUCAUGAAAUCUGAAAUAGAGUCUAUGAAAAUCAAUAAUGUAUGGAAUUGACUGACCCACCUG